RNAcentral lists this ribosomal RNA (429 nucleotides) under Chloroflexota bacterium. Its description in RNAcentral is "Chloroflexi bacterium partial 16S ribosomal RNA". It matches the Rfam family "Bacterial small subunit ribosomal RNA", at positions 355 to 776 of the family's 1533-position model. Lineage: Bacteria; Bacillati; Chloroflexota. The record is from RNAcentral.
UGGGGAAUAUUGCACAAUGGGCGCAAGCCUGAUGCAGCCAUGCCGCGUGUGUGAAGAAGGCCUUCGGGUUGUAAAGCACUUUCAGCGGGGAGGAAGGCGGUGAGGUUAAUAACCUCACCGAUUGACGUUACCCGCAGAAGAAGCACCGGCUAACUCCGUGCCAGCAGCCGCGGUAAUACGGAGGGUGCAAGCGUUAAUCGGAAUUACUGGGCGUAAAGCGCACGCAGGCGGUCUGUCAAGUCGGAUGUGAAAUCCCCGGGCUCAACCUGGGAACUGCAUUCGAAACUGGCAGGCUAGAGUCUUGUAGAGGGGGGUAGAAUUCCAGGUGUAGCGGUGAAAUACGUAGAGAUCUGGAGGAAUACCGGUGGCGAAGGCGGCCCCCUGGACAAAGACUGACGCUCAGGUGCGAAAGCGUGGGGAGCAAACAGG